Molecule: long non-coding RNA, 495 nt
Organism: Saimiri boliviensis boliviensis (Bolivian squirrel monkey)
Lineage: Eukaryota; Metazoa; Chordata; Mammalia; Primates; Cebidae
Source: RefSeq, a predicted model, not a curated record
GCAAAAGAACAAGAUGCGUUGCAAGCCAGAGUGAUGAAUUCCACUUUUAACGUCGUCUCCGUGGCAUUCUGCCUAAAUGAUGGGCAUGGAAAUGGUGCUGAGGGAUGUGGGCUGAAUCGAGAACACAGGGACUUUUGUCUUCUGGGUUUAAUAACAAAAUGCAGUGCAAAAACUCCAGGUACUAGCCAAGUCAUGUGACAUGAGACAUGGGAUCAGCUUAUCUCACAGACCCAGACUUAGAGCCCUGUGCCAGCCUGACAACGAGUGGACAAUCCAGGAGGAUUUGAGUAUUUCCUGCAGCUAUUCAACAAAUACAGAAAGAGCUCCUUAAAGUUUCUGGCUAUAGCCCAGCCUUCCAGCUCCCUGACUCAGAUGGGACCUGUCGGAACCAGAUUUGAAGACAUUAAAUUCGGACAUUGGUGUGACUGACUGAUAUAGACAGAUUCUGUCACACCCCUGGCUGCUGUUGUCACUGGUAAGUUGGGGCUUAGAUCU